AUACGGAGGAUCCAAGCGUUAUCCGGAUUUAUGGGUUUAAAGGGAGCGUAGGUGGACGUAUAAGUCAGUUGUGAAAGUUUGCGGCUCAACCGUAAAAUUGCAGUUGAUACUGUAUGCCUUGAGUGUACAAGAGGUGGGCGGAAUUCGUGGUGUAGCGGUGAAAUGCUUAGAUAUCACGCAGAACUCCGAUUGCGAAGGCAGCUUACUAAGUUACAACUGACACUGAAGCACGAAAGCGUGGGGAUC
RNAcentral lists this ribosomal RNA (246 nucleotides) under uncultured bacterium. RNAcentral describes it as "partial 16S ribosomal RNA". It matches the Rfam family "Bacterial small subunit ribosomal RNA", at positions 523 to 769 of the family's 1533-position model. The record is from RNAcentral.